ACCCUUUAAUGUUUGAUGUUCUAACGUGGACCCGUGAUCCGGGUUGCGGACAGUGUCUGGUGGGUAGUUUGACUGGGGCGGUCUCCUCCUAAAGAGUAACGGAGGAGCACGAAGGUUGGCUAAUCCUGGUCGGACAUCAGGAGGUUAGUGCAAUGGCAUAAGCCAGCUUGACUGCGAGCGUGACGGCGCGAGCAGGUGCGAAAGCAGGUCAUAGUGAUCCGGUGGUUCUGAAUGGAAGGGCCAUCGCUCAACGGAUAAAAGGUACUCCGGGGAUAACAGGCUGAUACCGCCCAAGAGUUCAUAUCGACGGCGGUGUUUGGCACCUCGAUGUCGGCUCAUCACAUCCUGGGGCUGAAGUAGGUCCCAAGGGUAUGGCUGUUCGCCAUUUAAAGUGGUACGCGAGCUGGGUUUAGAACGUCGUGAGACAGUUCGGUCCCUAUCUGCCGUGGGCGCUGGAGAACUGAGGGGGGCUGCUCCUAGUACGAGAGGACCGGAGUGGACGCAUCACUGGUGUUCGGGUUGUCAUGCCAAUGGCACUGCCCGGUAGCUAAAUGCGGAAGAGAUAAGUGCUGAAAGCAUCUAAGCACGAAACUUGCCCCGAGAUGAGUUCUCCCUGAGACUUAAAGUCUCCUGAAGGAACGUUGAAGACGACGACGUUGAUAG
This 663-nucleotide ribosomal RNA is filed under the name Salmonella enterica. RNAcentral describes it as "partial 23S ribosomal RNA". It matches the Rfam family "Bacterial large subunit ribosomal RNA", at positions 2202 to 2859 of the family's 2925-position model. The record is from RNAcentral. Lineage: Bacteria; Pseudomonadati; Pseudomonadota; Gammaproteobacteria; Enterobacterales; Enterobacteriaceae.